Macaca fascicularis (crab-eating macaque) is the source of this 103-nucleotide small nucleolar RNA. Lineage: Eukaryota; Metazoa; Chordata; Mammalia; Primates; Cercopithecidae. The record is from Ensembl.
AUCCUUUUGUAGUUCAUAAGUGUGAUGAUUCGGUGUUCACAUGCAUGUAUGAGAUGUGCCGCCCUCAAACCUUGUUAUGACGUGGUCCAUUCCCCAUCCGAUG